RNAcentral lists this ribosomal RNA (429 nucleotides) under Shewanella sp. P5-4. RNAcentral's name for it is "bacterial SSU rRNA". It matches the Rfam family "Bacterial small subunit ribosomal RNA", at positions 65 to 483 of the family's 1533-position model. The record is from RNAcentral. Lineage: Bacteria; Pseudomonadati; Pseudomonadota; Gammaproteobacteria; Alteromonadales; Shewanellaceae.
AGCGGUAACAGGAAUUAGCUUGCUAAUUUGCUGACGAGCGGCGGACGGGUGAGUAAUGCCUAGGGAACUGCCCAGUCGAGGGGGAUAACAGUUGGAAACGACUGCUAAUACCGCAUACGCCCUACGGGGGAAAAGAGGGGACCUUCGGGCCUUCUGCGAUUGGAUGUACCUAGGUGGGAUUAGCUAGUUGGUGAGGUAAUGGCUCACCAAGGCGACGAUCCCUAGCUGUUCUGAGAGGAUGAUCAGCCACACUGGGACUGAGACACGGCCCAGACUCCUACGGGAGGCAGCAGUGGGGAAUAUUGCACAAUGGGCGCAAGCCUGAUGCAGCCAUGCCGCGUGUGUGAAGAAGGCCUUCGGGUUGUAAAGCACUUUCAGCGAGGAGGAAAGCUUAAGCGUUAAUAGCGUUUAGGUGUGACGUUACUCGCA